UAGGGAAUCUUCCACAAUGGGCGCAAGCCUGAUGGAGCAACACCGCGUGAGUGAAGAAGGGUUUCGGCUCGUAAAGCUCUGUUGUUAAAGAAGAACACGUAUGAGAGUAACUGUUCAUACGUUGACGGUAUUUAACCAGAAAGUCACGGCUAAAUACGUACCAG
RNAcentral lists this ribosomal RNA (164 nucleotides) under uncultured bacterium. RNAcentral describes it as "partial 16S rRNA". It matches the Rfam family "Bacterial small subunit ribosomal RNA", at positions 355 to 511 of the family's 1533-position model. The record is from RNAcentral.